This 492-nucleotide ribosomal RNA is filed under the name uncultured bacterium. RNAcentral describes it as "partial 16S ribosomal RNA". It matches the Rfam family "Bacterial small subunit ribosomal RNA", at positions 29 to 507 of the family's 1533-position model. The record is from RNAcentral.
AGUGAACGCUGGCGGUGGGCCUAACACAUGCAAGUCGAACGACAACACAGUAAGAUCUUGCUCUUACCGGUGGCGAGUGACGGACGGGUGAGGCAUGCAUAGGCUACUUCUUUUACGGGGGGGAUAACGUAAGACAACUGACGCUAAUACCUCAUAUAUUCAACGGCUGAAAUCAAGAGAGCUUGGCACCUUUCGCGAUUGAAUUAGACGAUUUCGGAUCAGCUAGUUGGGGUGGUAACGGCCCACCAAGGCGACGAUCCGUAGCCGAUCUGAGAGGAUGAUCAGCCACACUGGAACUGAGACACGGUCCAGACUCCUACGGGAGGCAGCAGUGGGGAAUAUUGGGCAAUGGGCGCAAGCCUGAUGCAGCCAUACCGCGUGGGUGAAGAAGGUCUUCGGGUUGUAAAGCCCUUUUGUUGGGAAAGAAAAGCAGCAGAUUAAUACCCCGCUGUUUUGACGGUACCCAAAGAAUAAGCACCGGCUAACUUCGUG